Molecule: ribosomal RNA, 532 nt
Filed under: Galapagomystides bobpearsoni
Lineage: Eukaryota; Metazoa; Annelida; Polychaeta; Phyllodocida; Phyllodocidae
Description: Galapagomystides sp. b KAP-2021 partial large subunit ribosomal RNA
Source: RNAcentral
AGUUUUUGUAUCGGAGUACGAAAUUAAUANACUCCACUUAAGACGGGUCACUGAUAUCAAAUUGCCGGCGCCAUAAAACUGGCACGCUUCCAUCGUAUUAGUAAACAAAGAAUUAAUCUCUGAUCAUACUUACCUAUAUGUCCUAAUUUAGACAGAGUUUAUAUAAAGAUCUUUAACCGAAACUCCACUUCUCUGGAAUUAUAAAUACUUCCUGUUCUUCUGGGAUAACUCGAAAUAAAACUUUUCUUAAAACAACUUAGAUAAAUAACAACAUGAAAUUUUUUAAACCAACCCCACUGUAUCCUUAUAUAUUUAGAAGGAUAUAACAAAACUUUAAAUAAGAAUAUUCACUAGAUACUAUCACUAUAUUUCUUUAUCAAUGGUAUCCCUAUUGUCCGAUUAAAAAAAUCUCUCAAGUAUAACUAUUUUUUCUAACCAUGGAGCUACAACCGAAUCUUACAGGAUUUCCACAUCGUCGGAAAUUCCCAACCAAACAAGUUGGUAAUUUUAAGAUGCACUAGACUCAAGUCUG